CUUCACCGACCCGAGCCAUAGCGGAUGCCCGUCCGCGCGGUCACGCCCGUACGUCGCCAGCAGCGCCUGCGCCUC
Molecule: antisense RNA, 75 nt
Filed under: Streptomyces sp. 2112.2
Lineage: Bacteria; Bacillati; Actinomycetota; Actinomycetes; Kitasatosporales; Streptomycetaceae
Also listed under: 3 other names
Description: ASpks TB sRNA
Rfam family: ASpks TB sRNA
Source: RNAcentral